AGUCGACGCGUUGGCCCAAUUGAUUGACGGUGCUUGCACCUGAUUGAUUUUCGUCGCCAACGAGUGGCGGACGGGUGAGUAACACGUAGGUAACCUGCCCAGAAGCGGGGGACAACAUUUGGAAACAGAUGCUAAUACCGCAUAACAACGUUGUUCGCAUGAACAACGCUUAAAAGAUGGCUUCUCGCUAUCACUUCUGGAUGGACCUGCGGUGCAUUAGCUUGUUGGUGGGGUAACGGCCUACCAAGGCGAUGAUGCAUAGCCGAGUUGAGAGACUGAUCGGCCACAAUGGGACUGAGACACGGCCCAUACUCCUACGGGAGGCAGCAGUAGGGAAUCUUCCACAAUGGGCGCAAGCCUGAUGGAGCAACACCGCGUGAGUGAAGAAGGGUUUCGGCUCGUAAAGCUCUGUUGUUAAAGAAGAACACGUAUGAGAGUAACUGUUCAUACGUUGACGGUAUUUAACCAGAAAGUCACGGCUAACUACGUGCCAGCAGCCGCGGUAAUACGUAGGUGGCAAGCGUUAUCCGGAUUUAUUGGGCGUAAAGAGAGUGCAGGCGGUUUUCUAAGUCUGAUGUGAAAGCCUUCGGCUUAACCGGAGAAGUGCAUCGGAAACUGGAUAACUUGAGUGCAGAAGAGGGUGGUGGAACUCCAUGUGUAGCGGUGGAAUGCGUAGAUAUAUGGAAGAACACCAGUGGCGAAGGCGGCUACCUGGUCUGCAACUGACGCUGAGACCCGAAAGCAUGGGUAGCGAACAGGAUUAGAUACCCUGGUAGUCCAUGCCGUAAACGAUGAGUGC
RNAcentral lists this ribosomal RNA (799 nucleotides) under uncultured bacterium. Its description in RNAcentral is "bacterial SSU rRNA". It matches the Rfam family "Bacterial small subunit ribosomal RNA", at positions 60 to 816 of the family's 1533-position model. The record is from RNAcentral.